GAACUGGUCAACAGCUCGGUAAAGCAAGCGGCAGUGUGGUCGUUGGCACAUACAAGUCAAUGGAUUGCUUAAUGAUUGGAGGUUGUUGAAGACAUACGGUAGCGAGAAUAUCAUUGGAUAUCAUUGGUGGCAACAGCGAAUUUGAGUAGGAGAACUGCGGGAAACAUUAAGUGGAUCCAUAAGUUAUUAUCAAUUGAGGGGUAGUGUUGGAUAUCACUUGAUAAUAACUUAUGUUGAGUGAAUGAACAUAGUAAUCUAAUUGAAUUAGUAAAUCUAGUAACCUUAGUUAAGGACUAAAAUCAUAUAAAUACGGUGUAUUUGCUAUAAUAAAUUCAGUCUAUUUCGAGACGACAAACUGGUCGUUUUAUUUUAGAUUCCGGAUUGGAAUCCGUGAAAUUCCAA
Long non-coding RNA from Bradysia coprophila, 402 nucleotides. NCBI's taxonomy places the organism in Eukaryota, Metazoa, Arthropoda, Insecta, Diptera, Sciaridae. The record is from RefSeq and is a predicted model, not a curated record.